AUAACUUAACCAUGUGGUUGGGAAACCAAACGUCCACUGAACCAGAAAUUACUGAUAUCAUAUAUGAAACUCAUUAUAAGGAAAGCUGUUGUAAUAUCGAAAUACACAAAAUAAAUUUAGAGAAUGGGUUCACUGUUUGGGCUCACGUUAGAACUUGCAAAUGCAGUAGACAAUACACCAAUUCCUGGAAAGGUUCCAAAUACGAUGGAAAACAUGAAGAUGGCGUGAUAGUUCAUCAACAUAGUAGUUGUAAAUACUAUCCUAAAAGGACUGGGUUAAAUAAUUAUACGGCGGAGGAAGUUUGUCGUUGUGGAGUUAAACAAAGUUUGCAAAGAUAAUUGUAAGUGUAAUAGGUUUUUUUAUUACCAUAUUUUUACAAAAGAUCAUUUCAACUUUUAAUUUGGUUAUUUUCUAAAAUUGUUUAUCGCGUAAUUUAGACUUACAUCACACAUGUUUUUGAUUGUUUUUAUGUUUGAAAAGUAAAUAAAAUGACUUUCAUUCUUGCAAUUAACAAUACGCUCUAUAAUGUCAUUUUAUUUGAAAAAUAUUUUGAUCAAAUAUUAAUCUGAUCAUGGGGAUCAUUUUGAACUGUUUUUAAUAAAAGAUUUGUCCAUUUGGAAAACACUCUUUCAUAGAGAAAUACUAAGGAAUGUUGUCAAUGUCUGAUUUUUUCAAACCUCAAUAUUAAAGAUCAAUAAUACCUACUAAGAUCUACAUUAAAAUAAAGAAAAAACGUUUUAACUUUCAAUCUGAUUUAUAGAAACAAUGGAUCGCUCAAAGUUAUACGUUGUUUUGAAAAAUGACGUCCUGUAAAAUAACAUAACAAAACUUUUAAAUUCAUACAUCUGCUUAUUGUUAAUAAGGAAAUUAUAACAACAGAUAAAAAGAGAUGCCAAGUUUUAAAGCUUUUAUUUCAUUUCCAAAUUACCCAAAUAUUUUACGUAUUGACAAAGUUAAAAGAAUGCUUAGGAUCUUUUUCGUUCAAAUAUGAACAGCUUUUUUGGAUGUCCUUCAGAUCAGGCCCAAACUAGAAGUUCUAUACCUUUUUGUGUAUUUUCAUUUUCCCAGUUUUCCUUUUUUUAUGUUUUGUUUGUAUUUUGUUUCUUUUGUCAAAUUCUUAUUCUAACAAUUUAAUCUUUUUUUUUAGAAGAUUCAACAAAUGAAGAGACAAUUAACAGCUCUAAACAAAUUCAAACCAAAAAUCAGCGAUAUAUGAAAUAAAACGUAUUGGGAUGCUUAUUUGUCUUUUCUGGACAAAAAAUCCAAAAUACUAUACAUGUUCAAUAAAGUUCGAAUAAAUGUUUCGUUGUUUAAUAAUAAAAAUUUGACUCAGUCA
RNAcentral lists this long non-coding RNA (1336 nucleotides) under Mytilus galloprovincialis (Mediterranean mussel). The record is from RNAcentral. Lineage: Eukaryota; Metazoa; Mollusca; Bivalvia; Mytilida; Mytilidae.